GGCGGUGUGGUGAAAUUGGCAGACGCGCAGCACUCAAAAUGCUGUUCUCGUAAGGGAGUGUCGGUUCGACCCCGACCACCGCCACCA
Molecule: transfer RNA, 87 nt
Filed under: Clostridiales bacterium
Lineage: Bacteria; Bacillati; Bacillota; Clostridia; Eubacteriales
Description: tRNA-Leu
Rfam family: tRNA
About the family: Transfer RNA (tRNA) molecules are approximately 80 nucleotides in length. Their secondary structure includes four short double-helical elements and three loops (D, anti-codon, and T loops).
Source: RNAcentral